Molecule: ribosomal RNA, 571 nt
Filed under: Fermentozyma sake
Lineage: Eukaryota; Fungi; Ascomycota; Pichiomycetes; Serinales; Debaryomycetaceae
Description: eukaryotic LSU rRNA
Rfam family: Eukaryotic large subunit ribosomal RNA
Source: RNAcentral
CAAGGUANGCCCAGUAGCGGCGAGUGAGCGGCAAGAGCUCAGAUUUGAAAUCGUGUUUCGGCACGAGUUGUAGAGUGUAGGCGGGAGUCUCUGUGGAGCGCGGUGUCCAAGUCCCUUGGAACAGGGUGCCUGAGAGGGUGAGAGCCCCGUAGGGUGCUGCGCGAAGCUUUUGAGGCCCUGCUGACGAGUCGAGUUGUUUGGGAAUGCAGCUCCAAGCGGGUGGUAAAUUCCAUCUAAGGCUAAAUAUUGGCGAGAGACCGAUAGCGAACAAGUACUGUGAAGGAAAGAUGAAAAGCACUUUGAAAAGAGAGUGAAACAGCACGUGAAAUUGUUGAAAGGGAAGGGUAUUGGGCUCGACAUGGGGGGUGCGCACCGCUGUCUCUUGUAGGCGGCGCUCUGGGCGCCCUCUGGGCCAGCAUCGGUUCCUGCUGCGGGAGAAGGGGCUCCGGAAAGUGGCUCUUCGGAGUGUUAUAGCCGGGGCCAGAUGCCGCGUGUGGGGACCGAGGACUGCGGCUUCUGUCUCGGAUGCUGGCAUAACGGCGCAAUACCGCCCGUCUUGAACNACGGACCA